This 389-nucleotide ribosomal RNA is filed under the name Alteromonas sp. LX10. RNAcentral's name for it is "bacterial SSU rRNA". It matches the Rfam family "Bacterial small subunit ribosomal RNA", at positions 36 to 420 of the family's 1533-position model. Lineage: Bacteria; Pseudomonadati; Pseudomonadota; Gammaproteobacteria; Alteromonadales; Alteromonadaceae. The record is from RNAcentral.
CUGGCGGCAGGCCUAACACAUGCAAGUCGAGCGGAAACAAAAAUAGCUUGCUAUUCUGGUGUCGAGCGGCGGACGGGUGAGUAAUGCUUGGGAAUAUGCCUUUAGGUGGGGGACAACAGUUGGAAACGACUGCUAAUACCGCAUAAUGUCUACGGACCAAAGUGGGGGACCUUCGGGCCUCACGCCUAAAGAUUAGCCCAAGUGNGAUUAGCUAGUUGGUUGAGGUAAAGGCUCACCAAGGCAACGAUCCCUAGCUGGUUUGAGAGGAUGAUCAGCCACACUGGAACUGAGACACGGUCCAGACUCCUACCGGAGGCAGCAAUGGGGAAUAUUCCACAAUGGGCGCAAGCCUGAUGCAGCCAUGCCGCGUUUUGUGAUAAAAGCCCCUA